Molecule: RNA transcript, 2034 nt
Organism: Triticum aestivum (bread wheat)
Lineage: Eukaryota; Viridiplantae; Streptophyta; Magnoliopsida; Poales; Poaceae
Exons: 3
Source: RefSeq, a predicted model, not a curated record
UCUCAGCUCCAGUAGGCAGCAGCUCACUCCCAUCUCUUAGGGUUUCCGGCGGCUGCCUCCUCCGACGCCGACGGCCAGCUCUUCCGCCGCCGCCGCCCGCGUCCAGCUCUUCCGCCGCCGCCGCCCGCGUCCAGCUACCUUUCUGCACUCCUCCACGCCAAUGGCGACCUCCAAGCCGCGCCGUUCCAGUCGUACGAGGAAAACGGCGAGGACUCUGACGGAGAUCCCCGACCACAUCAUCGCGGAGAUCUUCCUCCGGCUGCCCGCCGCGGAAGACCUAGCCCGUGCCUCCGCCGCCUGCGUCUCCUUCCGCCGUCUCGUCGCCGACAAAUCCUUCCUCCGCCGCUUCCGCCGCCUCCACGACCCGCCCCUCCUCGCCUUUUUCGACCGCAACGGGUUCCACCACCCCCUCCCGCCUCACCCCUCCGCGCCAGCCGCCAGCGCGCUCGCCGACGCCGCCGACCUCUCCUUCUCCUUCUUCCCCAACCACGGCCGGUGGUCCGUCCAGGACAUCCGCGAAGGACGCGUCCUCCUCCUCCGCCCUGGCGCCUGCAAGCAGCCCCAGAUCUGCAUGGAGGCCGCGGUGUGCGACCCCUUGCACCGGAAGUACGUCCUCCUUCCCCCAGUACCUGACGACCUGGCCGCUUCGAUGAUGCACCCGGCCACGGCACACGAACCCUGGUGCGAGGCUUUCCUUGUUCCCCUUGAUGAGGAGGCGGAGACGGCAUUCGGUGUGAUGUGGAUGGUACAUUUCACAACUAGGCUGGCAGCGUUCGUCUACUCCUCGACCACUGGACAGUGGCAAGCUGUUGCAUCCAAGGAAUGGAAUGAGUUGCUCCUUGGACAGGGCGAGUCGACCAUGGUGUCACCGAUCGACCGUGACUUUUAUGGGCGCUAUUACGCCUAUGGCUGCUUCUACUGGGAGUCCACCGUGAUGGGGAAGAAAGAUUUGCUCGUGUUUGACACCCGGAGAAUGGAGUUCUCUAGUUGUGACCUCCCACCAAAAGAAUUGUGUCCGCUAGAUCUGGCCAUUGUGGAGGCAGGGGAAGCCAGGCUUGGCUUGUUCGGUAUCCAUCUUGAAGCUGGAAAGUUUGAUCUCUGUUAUUACAUCAAGGGAAACAAAUGUGAGAGUUCUAGCCAGUGGCAGCUGGAGAAGACAAUCCCAAUAUGUUCGGGCUGCCGGCCUGAUAUCAAAGCUGCAACCGGGAGGUACUUGCUCCUAGGAAAGUUUGGACCCAUGCGGUUCGUAAACUCAACUCCACACCAAGAUUUGGAAUAUAUCUCGGUUGAUGUCAAGACAUUGCAGCUUGCGAGGGUUUGUACCAAAUCUUCUGGGUUUGCCUUUUCCAAGACGUCGAUAUAUACCAACUUCCCGCCAUCGUUGUCUUCACCAAAAAUAUGAUGUGUAACAUGUUUAAUAUUCAGUUGAGAUCAAUAUUAUGACUGGGACGGGUGCUAUUCUGGAGAGAUGCUAUUUUUCUUCUGCGGUUCAGCCUGUAAUUCUGUAUACUAUAUUCGACGGAGCUGUGUAGCCAGAGACUAUUCUCAUCCUCGGAGCUCCAUGUCUUUUUUUGUGAUUCCGGCAGCAUGGACUUGGCGCAGAUGCCUUCGCCUUGCCUACGAGACGUGACUCAUAACUAAUCUAGGUUUGACGACUUGAUUGAUGGUGCUGGUGAAUUGUGUCCGACAUUGUUCAUGAGCUCUAGCCGUGUCUAGGUUUAGAAUUCGGUCAGUGUUAUGUAACCGACGUUGCUCAUAUGGUUGAUGUCCCCGCCUAUUUUAGAACGUAGCACUGGGAUUUAAACAGUUGUGAUCAGCAUUUGCACGAUGUAGUAACAUGGCUACAGUUUAAGCAGCCACUUUCAGGAGGCUUUUGCACUUGUAUGUGUCAGUGCUUGCAGUGACGAAUUGAAGCACCUGGUUUGGUUAGCCGACCUUAAUUAUCUGAUCUGAUAUGUUCUGUCUAGUGUAAAAUUGUGUGGAUGUUCUUGAGAGUGUGACAUUGGAAUAGACAGUGCAUCACUUGUCUGUGUU